AGAGUUUGAUCCUGGCUCAGAUUGAACGCUGGCGGCAUGCUUUACACAUGCAAGUCGAACGGUAACAGGCCGCAAGGUGCUGACGAGUGGCGAACGGGUGAGUAAUGCAUCGGAACGUGCCCAGUCGUGGGGGAUAACGCAGCGAAAGCUGUGCUAAUACCGCAUACGAUCUAUGGAUGAAAGCGGGGGACCGUAAGGCCUCGCGCGAUUGGAGCGGCCGAUGUCAGAUUAGGUAGUUGGUGGGGUAAAGGCCUACCAAGCCAACGAUCUGUAGCUGGUCUGAGAGGACGACCAGCCACACUGGGACUGAGACACGGCCCAGACUCCUACGGGAGGCAGCAGUGGGGAAUUUUGGACAAUGGGCGCAAGCCUGAUCCAGCAAUGCCGCGUGCAGGAAGAAGGCCUUCGGGUUGUAAACUGCUUUUGUACGGAACGAAACGGUCUGGGUUAAUACCCUGGCUAAUGACGGUACCGUAAGAAUAAGCACCGGCUAACUACGUGCCAGCAGCCGCGGUAAUACGUAGGGUGCAAGCGUUAAUCGGAAUUACUGGGCGUAAAGCGUGCGCAGGCGGCUUUGUAAGACAGGCGUGAAAUCCCCGGGCUCAACCUGGGAAUUGCGCUUGUGACUGCAAGGCUGGAGUGCGGCAGAGGGGGAUGGAAUUCCGCGUGUAGCAGUGAAAUGCGUAGAUAUGCGGAGGAACACCGAUGGCGAAGGCAAUCCCCUGGGCCUGCACUGACGCUCAUGCACGAAAGCGUGGGGAGCAAACAGGGUUAGAUACCCUGGGUAGUCCACGCCCUAAACGAUGUCAACUGGUUGUUGGGUAUUUACUUACUCAGUAACGAAGCUAACGCGUGAAGUUGACCGCCUGGGGAGUACGGCCGCAAGGUUGAAACUCAAAGGAAUUGACGGGGACCCACACAAGCGGUGGAUGAUGUGGUUUAAUUCGAUGCAACGCGAAAAACCUUACCCACCUUUGACAUGGCAGGAAGUUUCCAGAGAUGGAUUCGUGCUCGAAAGAGAA
RNAcentral lists this ribosomal RNA (1022 nucleotides) under uncultured bacterium. Its description in RNAcentral is "bacterial SSU rRNA". It matches the Rfam family "Bacterial small subunit ribosomal RNA", at positions 8 to 1026 of the family's 1533-position model. The record is from RNAcentral.